GGAAUCCACACUGUAAUUCCAUCUGCUUAAUAGUUGUAUCCUGCCCUUUCCAAAUAUAGUUUGUUUCCCACCAAACGCUGUGGUUCUGUUAGAAAACACGCUUUUUUUGUAUCGAUAAAAAGUACUUUUUUUCUCGGAUUCGAGCAUUAAAACCACAUGUUUAAAGUGUCUCUGAGACGGAGACUAAUUACUGAUGACAGUAGAGGUUGGGUCACUCAUUCCUCAUGCUGAACUGGGCACGGCUAUGACUUUGUUGGACCCAAACAACAGUACAGUUCACAGAUUGAAAUGGCAGUGAUGGCACAAGAUGUCCCUGGAGGCAGAUAAAAACAGUUUUGUGGUUUCCAAGGAGAGAAGUACAUCCUGUGGCUUUCAGGGUGCUGAAGAGAAAGAGGAGAUCCCAGGGAUGGGAGAGGACAGUGUUCUGGAAAUGCUGAGCUACUCCAAAUUUACAGACCUGGAGACAUGGCUGUGUAUGCCUUCUACACUGCUGCCGAGAAGUUUGGAAUCAUUAUGUGCCACCUCUCAGUCCCUGACACCUAGUGAAACUGCAGACGCUGAGAAGAAACCCAGACCGCCGGAGGGGGACACCCCGUUCUUGUCACCACCCACAAUGGCACCUCAGUCAUCAAGGUCACCGUCACCCAUUCCUAUGGGGUCCCCAGUGCCCUCUUCGUUGGAUUCUUCAGGGAGCUCUGUCCAGGGAGGGGUUAGCGUCAGGAAGCGCCGGCGUCUGGCUGCGAGUCCUGGGGGACUGCGCUGGAAUUCUUCAGGGUUGUUGCAGCGGGACUAUGACACAGCUGAAACCCUGCCUGCUCCAGGGGCCAAGCGCAGCCCUGGCAGUGACACCAGCCUCCACACUGGCCUCUUGGGAGACUUGCAAAGAGCUACCCUGACGAAGAGUGUUUCUGUAGAUGACCGCCUGUUUCAGAAACAACACAAAGAGUCGCACAAACUACUUACACGCUUGGAAAGGGGCAAGAACAAGCUGCGAAAUAUCCAUAGCCUUGGAUCAACUGGCAGAUACGAGACACAUAAAAAGGUGAGUAAAUUGCUCAAGGCUAGUAUACCUGGAAGUGAGACUCAAACCUGCAACCUUGGGUCCAAAGGCAACAGCACUAACCACUACACUAUCAGCUGCCCUGUUUAUAAAACAAUAUCUUCCAGCAAAAUAUUUUUACUGUUAUUCUCUUACGCUUUUAGCCAAGAUGAUGAGAGGGUCAUCAUUUUUGGAUAGAAUGAUGUCUAAUAUGCAUCCAGAUAGGAGGAAGGAUAGUGGGAAAGUAUGACUUCAUUGCUCAGAAAGUGAAUGACAACUGGUUCCACUUGCUCCCUGGUGUCCAGUUCAUUUCUGUUAUUAAUUACAUCAGAUCAUGCACCUAUUCAUUUCAUUUUACCUUUUCAAUAACUAUUUGAGAUAAAAAGCAAAAUGACUUAGAUUCUUUUUUCAGUUUUACCACUGUGUACUGUCCACUGAACUGGCACAGAAAAUAAUUGCAGCUAGGUAAAAUAAAUGGAAUGUAGAGGCAUGAUGGAUACUUUGA
RNAcentral lists this long non-coding RNA (1544 nucleotides) under Scleropages formosus (Asian bonytongue). RNAcentral's name for it is "lncRNA (ENSSFOG00015030742.1)". Lineage: Eukaryota; Metazoa; Chordata; Actinopteri; Osteoglossiformes; Osteoglossidae. The record is from RNAcentral.